UACGGGGGGGGCAAGCGUUGUUCGGAAUUACUGGGCGUAAAGGGCUCGUAGGUGGCCAACUAAGUCAGACGUGAAAUCCCUCGGCUUAACCGAGGAACUGCGUCUGAUACUGGAUGGCUUGAGUUUGGGAGAGGGACGCGGAAUUCCAGGUGUAGCGGUGAAAUGCGUAGAUAUCGGGAGGAACACCGGUGGCGAAGGCGGCCCGCUGGUAGGAGACUGACGCUGAGACACGAAAGCGUGGGGAGCAAACCGG
This 253-nucleotide ribosomal RNA is filed under the name uncultured bacterium. Its description in RNAcentral is "partial 16S ribosomal RNA". It matches the Rfam family "Bacterial small subunit ribosomal RNA", at positions 524 to 776 of the family's 1533-position model. The record is from RNAcentral.